RNAcentral lists this ribosomal RNA (228 nucleotides) under Vibrio splendidus. Its description in RNAcentral is "partial 23S ribosomal RNA". It matches the Rfam family "Bacterial large subunit ribosomal RNA", at positions 365 to 600 of the family's 2925-position model. The record is from RNAcentral. Lineage: Bacteria; Pseudomonadati; Pseudomonadota; Gammaproteobacteria; Vibrionales; Vibrionaceae.
UGAUAGCCCCGUAACCGACACAUCAUAAUCAGUGAAAACGAGUAGGGCGGGACACGUGAUAUCCUGUUUGAACAUGGGGGGACCAUCCUCCAAGGCUAAAUACUACUGACUGACCGAUAGUGAACCAGUACCGUGAGGGAAAGGCGAAAAGAACCCCUGUGAGGGGAGUGAAAUAGAACCUGAAACCGUGUACGUACAAGCAGUAGGAGCGCCUCGAAGCGUGACUGC